Molecule: long non-coding RNA, 3776 nt
Filed under: Sus scrofa (pig)
Lineage: Eukaryota; Metazoa; Chordata; Mammalia; Artiodactyla; Suidae
Description: lncRNA (ENSSSCG00060004505.1)
Source: RNAcentral
AUGGCCAUGCCUACAGCAUAUAGAGGUUCCCAGGCUAGGGGUCAAAUAGGAGCUGCAGCUGCCAGCCUACACCACAGCCACAGCAAUGCCAGAUCCUAAACCUACUGAAUGAAGCCAGGAAUCGAACCUGCAUCCUCAUGGAUACUAGUCAGAUUUAUUUCUGCUGAGCCACAACAGGAACUCCCUGUACCUCCAUUCUUUUUCCAAGAUCAUAAAUCAUUUUUACUAUCAUCACUCUGAAUUCUUUUCCAGGUAGAUUGUCUAUCUCCUCUUCAUGUAGUUGUUCUUACAUGUUUUUAUCUUGUUCUUCUUUCCAUAGGGUGCAGGAUUUUAGUUCCUCUUGUUUCUAGUGUCUGCCAUCUGGUGGGGUAAGUUUGGCCCAGAGGUUUGUGCAGGCUUCCUGGUUGGAGGGACUAGUGCCUUCCCACUAUUUGGUGGAGCUGGGUCUUGUCCCUCUGCUUGCCAGGGCCAUGUCAAGGGGUGUGUUUAGAGGUAGCUCUUGGUUCAAUAUGACUUUUGGCAGCCUGUCACCUCUCCUCAGAGUACUCUGGCUUUUAUCCUCUUGGUAGAAGGUGUGUUUGAUGAUGUGAUGACUCGAGCCUGUGCUGGAUAUUGAAUGGGGCUUCCUGUUUGCUCUCUGGUUGUCACUGCUCUAUAAGAGGCCAGGUCUGCUCCCUAGUUGUUGGAGUAGGAGCCCCCAUAUCUGCUUCUGAGAUAUGGUUCUGAUCUUUAGGACAAGGUAGGUGGUUUUGUCCCACUGGGAAAGAAGCCACUGAGUAUACCUCCACUGGAGAUGUUCAUCUGUGUGUGGGCUCUGUUGUGUCACCUUUUCCUUGUUGUGUGGGCUCACAGGGUACACUGUUGUUGGUGCUGCUCUUGGCCCAUGUUAACCAUGGGUCUGUCUGCAAUUGGCCCUGGUGUCUCUCAGGCAUUUUUUUUUUUUUUUUUUCACUAGGUCACCAGUGUAGAUCCAUUGAAGGCAGGACUCAGGAUUAUAGUAUUCAUACUCCUGGGCCUGCUAUGGGAUUGAUGGAGGCAGCUCAGACUCUGACCUGGUGCAAAAUCCACAUGUACUUGCCCACAAAGCCCACAUCUGCUCCAGCUAGACUCAUCUCAGGUACAGGAGCACUCCUUGUCUGUUCAGAUGUUCCACCAGUGCUGAAUUUAUAAGGCUGUCAGCGGAGGUGGAAAACUACAGUUCAUACCAUGGGGAGGAGAUAUUUCAGUUCUUCCUUCUUAAUUACAGGGCUGUUUUUAGUAUGGGUGCCUAGCCUCUCUUUCCUCAGUGUGUGCUGGUCUUUAUCUCCUUGGUAGUAGGUCACAAGUGCAUAGCCAGAGUUGGGCAGGGGUGAGGGAUGUAGUCCAUGAGGGAGGUGGCGGUGGCAGUGGCUUACACAACACCCCCCCUCCCAGAGCUCGGGUGCAGCCAGUGGUCGGCACCACACCACAGGUCCUUUGGUGGUGACUAUGGAUCAUACACACACUUCUGCAGAAGCAAGGGCAGAGGUCAGCUCCUGGUCACAGGAUGCUCACUGACAGCAGCGUUGGCAGUGGGCCACCUGAGUGCUCCCAGAGAUGUGGAGGCAGAGGUCGGCAUGCUGGUGUGGAAUCCUCAGUGGUAGCAGAGGGCCAUGCAAGCUCCCAGGGAGUCAAGGACAGUGGUCAGUGCUUGGUUGCAGGCCCCUUGGGAGCAAAGGCAGCGACCUGUGCAUAACCCCAGAAAGGGGGCAGGGAGGGGUUGGUGCCUGGCUGCAGGUGUGGGCCCUCUGGAGAUAGCGGCAGCUAUAGACACACAUGUUCCCUGAAAGGAAGAGGCAGUGACUAUCACCUGCUCGUGAGACCCUCAGUGGAGGCAGUGGUCUGCUCCCACCUUUGGGGUCCAAGAUGACCGUGGUGGCUAGCACCUGCCCCUGGAUCUCAUGCAAGAGAUGCCCUGUGGCCUGAGAGCCCACGUAUGGAGAAAAAACCACCUCUGAUGAUCCCGUCCCUCUCCUCUUAUGCUCUCCAACCCUGGUGUUCUGCGUUUCUGGUGGGCCAAGACCUCUUCCUCCAGUAUCCCAAAAGUAUGGUGCACCACACCCUAGCUCCUUCAGAUUGUCCUCUCACAGUCAAACUCAGUCCUCUCCAUAUCUGACCUCCAAAGCCUAACCCUCGGCUCCCAGCCCGAGCUCACCUUACCAGAAGUCCAGUGUCUCUGGCUGGGGUGUGCUGGGCUAGAUACCAACCAUGCCGGUCUUUCUCCUGCCUGCCUUCUACAAACCCAUUGCUGCAAUCUCCUCCGAUGCCCCAAAGCUCCGUCUCUGUCCCACCUGGUCUCUCUGCCAGUGAUGGGCCUUCCCAGUGUGCAGAAGCCUUUCCUUUUUCCCAGUUCCCUCCCAGGGGCACUGGUCCCAUCCCAGUUCUUUUCUCUCUCUCUUUUUCCUUCUUUUGUCCUACCUAGUUACAUGAAGAUUUUCUUCCCCUUUUGGAUGUCUGAGAUCUUCUGAAAGCAUUCAGUAGAUGUUCUGUUAGAAGAAUGUCACAUGCAGAUGUAUUUUUGAUGUAUUUGUCAGGAAAAGUGUGCUCCACAUCCUACGCCUCUGCUAUUUUUCCACGCCCACCCCCAACAGGACUUUUUGACAAAUACGUGUCUGAUGACUUUCUGAUAAUACCACGGAACUUGGUAAGAAAUUUUAAAACUCUUAAUGGAAAACUUGAUGACUUCAUUCAGAUCAACAGGAAUUAAUUACAUGGGACUGAAUGAACUGGUAAAUAUGACAUAAUUUUAUGACAUUUUCUCUGAACUAUUCCGGCUUUUAAUCAUUGUUUUUCAGAAAACUUUCCCUCUAACUAUGAACUAAAAUCUGGUAAAGUAUGUCUUUGUAAAUGAAGAUGAAACAUGUGUCUUUUUCUUAUUACCUGAUCCUUCCAGAAUUUGGCUUCUCUAGCUGGCUCCCCUGUGAACUUGAUGAUUUAUUGCAGCCAGAUUACAACUAGUUAUGCUAAUUAUUGUUUUAAUUUGUUCUCUAUUGUUGUUUUCAAAUUAUGCUUUGUGCCUCUCUCUGCUGUACCAUGACUUUAUUAAUGUUUUUAGCUGUAUUACUUAUAUCCUUUCUAUUUUAUAAGAUUGUUGUCAUUACUGGAUGUGUAACCAGGCCUCUGGCAAAAUUAAUAAUGGCUAAACAUUUUGAGGCAGUUGAUCAUAUAUAUAUAAUUCUACAUAAAAUAAUUUUAAUAGUGCAACUCUGGAUAUGGGAAGAAGCUAAAGGUAAAACAUUUCCUGGAUCAUAAUAAACUACCACCCCAAAGGUGAGCCCUGAGGGGAUUUCAGGAUUGGGGAAAACAGGAUACUGCCCUAGGUCAUUUCAAUGGAUAAUUUCAAGGGAUAAUUUCAAUGAGCCUAGACUCUUACAUCUUCACACAUGGAAAAGCACUGAAAUCAUUAACUUAAGAUGCCUGUGAUUAGUGUAAUAUUUUGAUGUUUGAUUACAUGCCUUUUUUUGCUUUUUAGGGAUAUACCUGCAGCUUAUGGAACUUCCCAAGCUAAGGGUUGAAUCCGAGCUGUAGCUGCUGGCCUACGACACAGCCACAGUAGCUUGGGAUCUGAGCUGCAUCUGUGACCUACACCACAGCUCAUGGCAAUGCGGGAUCCCCGACCCACUGAUCAAGGUCAGGGACUGAACCCACAUCCUCAUGGAUACUAGUCGGAUUCAUUUCCACCAUACCACAAUGGGAACUCCUUUUUUUUCCUUUUUUUCUUUAGCAAAAACAGCUAUAUAUCCUGGCCCCUCCCUUAC